Molecule: ribosomal RNA, 625 nt
Filed under: Helicobasidium purpureum I
Lineage: Eukaryota; Fungi; Basidiomycota; Pucciniomycetes; Helicobasidiales; Helicobasidiaceae
Description: LSU rRNA
Rfam family: Eukaryotic large subunit ribosomal RNA
Source: RNAcentral
CAAUAAGCGGAGGAAAAGAAACUAGCAAGGAUUCCCCCAGUAACGGCGAGUGAAGAGGGAACAGCCCAAAUUUGUAAUCUGGCCCUUUUGGGGUCCGAGUUGUAAUCUCGAGAACUGUUUUCCGUGCCGGACCAUGUACAAGUCUGUUGGAAUAUAGCUUCAUAGAGGGUGAGAAUCCCGUACAUGACAUGGACCACCGGUGCUUUGCGAUACAGUCUCUAAGAGUCGAGUUGUUUGGGAAUGCAGCUCAAAUUGGGUGGUAAAUUCCAUCUAAGGCUAAAUAUUGGCGAGAGACCGAUAGCGAACAAGUACCGUGAGGGAAAGAUGAAAAGCACUUUGGAAAGAGAGUUAACAGUACGUGAAAUUGUUAAAAGGGAAACGCUUGAAGUCAGCCUUGUUCUUGGUUGUUCAGCCUUAGGGCGUAUUCAACUUUGAGCAGGCCAGCAUCAGUUUUGGGUGCCGGAUAAGGGCUUAGGAAAUGUGGCAGCUUAGGCUGUGUUAUAGUCCUUUGCUUGAUAUGGUGCCUGGGACUGAGGAACGCAGCGAGCCUUUUGGCGGGUCCCCUCGGGGGCCUUCUCGCUUUGGAUGCUGGCGUAAUGGCUUUAAACGACCCGUCUUGAAACAC